UACGGAGGGUGCAAGCGUUACUCGGAAUCACUGGGCGUAAAGCGCGCGCAGGCGGUCUUUUAAGUUGGAUGUGAAAGCCUACGGCUCAACCGUAGAACUGCAUCCAAAACUAUUAGACUAGAGUGUGGGAGAGGAAGAUGGAAUUAGUUGUGUAGGGGUAAAAUCCGUAGAGAUAACUAGGAAUACCAAAAGCGAAGGCAAUCUUCUGGAACACUACUGACGCUGAGGCGCGAAAGCGUGGGGAGCAAACAGGAUUAGAUACCCUGGUAGUCCACGCAGUAAACGAUGAAUGUUAGUCGUCGGGGGCCUAGUGUCUUCGGUGAUGCAGCUAACGCAUUAAACAUUCCGCCUGGGGAGUACGGUCGCAAGAUUAAAACUCAAAGGAAUAGACGGGGACCCGCACAAGUGGUGGAGCAUGUGGUUUAAUUCGAAGAUACGCGAAGAACCGUACCUAGCCUUGACAUAUAUUAGAAUCACCCAGAGAUGGGAGAGUGCCUUCGGGAGCUUUUAUACAGGUGCUGCACGGCUGUCGUCAGCUCGUGUCGUGAGAUGUUGGGUUAAGUCCCGCAACGAGCGCAACCCUCGUCACUAGUUACUAACGGUUCGGCCGAGGACUCUAGUGAGACUGCCUUCGCAAGGAGGAGGAAGGUGAGGACGACGUCAAGUCAUCAUGGCCCUUACGGCUAGGGCAACACACGUGCUACAAUGGCCAGGACAGUGAGACGCGAUACCGCGAGGUGGAGCAAAUCUAUAAACCUGGUCUCAGUUCGGAUUGUAGUCUGCAACUCGACUACAUGAAGCUGGAAUCACUAGUAAUCGUAGAUCAGCUAUGCUACGGUGAAUACGUUCCCGGGUC
This 856-nucleotide ribosomal RNA is filed under the name uncultured bacterium. Its description in RNAcentral is "bacterial SSU rRNA". It matches the Rfam family "Bacterial small subunit ribosomal RNA", at positions 524 to 1380 of the family's 1533-position model. The record is from RNAcentral.